This 253-nucleotide ribosomal RNA is filed under the name uncultured bacterium. RNAcentral's name for it is "partial 16S ribosomal RNA". It matches the Rfam family "Bacterial small subunit ribosomal RNA", at positions 524 to 776 of the family's 1533-position model. The record is from RNAcentral.
UACGGAGGGUGCAAGCGUUGCUCGGAAUCAUUGGGCGUAAAGCGCGUGUAGGCGGCUUUGCAAGUCUGGUGUGAAAUCCCGGGGCCUAACCCCGGAAGUGCAUUGGAUACUGCUUAGCUAGAGGUCGAGAGAGGAUAGUGGAAUUCCUGGUGUAGGGGUGAAAUCCGUAGAUAUCAGGAGGAACAUCAGUAGCGAAGGCGGCUAUCUGGCUCGAAUCUGACGCUGAGACGCGAAAGCGUGGGGAGCAAACAGG